Molecule: ribosomal RNA, 1372 nt
Filed under: uncultured bacterium
Lineage: Bacteria
Description: bacterial SSU rRNA
Rfam family: Bacterial small subunit ribosomal RNA
Source: RNAcentral
GAUGAACGCUGGCGGCGUGCCUAAUACAUGCAAGUCGAGCGAACGGACGAGAAGCUUGCUUCUCUGAUGUUAGCGGCGGACGGGUGAGUAACACGUGGAUAACCUACCUAUAAGACUGGGAUAACUUCGGGAAACCGGAGCUAAUACCGGAUAAUAUUUUGAACCGCAUGGUUCAAAAGUGAAAGACGGUCUUGCUGUCACUUAUAGAUGGAUCCGCGCUGCAUUAGCUAGUUGGUAAGGUAACGGCUUACCAAGGCAACGAUGCAUAGCCGACCUGAGAGGGUGAUCGGCCACACUGGAACUGAGACACGGUCCAGACUCCUACGGGAGGCAGCAGUAGGGAAUCUUCCGCAAUGGGCGAAAGCCUGACGGAGCAACGCCGCGUGAGUGAUGAAGGUCUUCGGAUCGUAAAACUCUGUUAUUAGGGAAGAACAUAUGUGUAAGUAACUGUGCACAUCUUGACGGUACCUAAUCAGAAAGCCACGGCUAACUACGUGCCAGCAGCCGCGGUAAUACGUAGGUGGCAAGCGUUAUCCGGAAUUAUUGGGCGUAAAGCGCGCGUAGGCGGUUUUUUAAGUCUGAUGUGAAAGCCCACGGCUCAACCGUGGAGGGUCAUUGGAAACUGGAAAACUUGAGUGCAGAAGAGGAAAGUGGAAUUCCAUGUGUAGCGGUGAAAUGCGCAGAGAUAUGGAGGAACACCAGUGGCGAAGGCGACUUUCUGGUCUGUAACUGACGCUGAUGUGCGAAAGCGUGGGGAUCAAACAGGAUUAGAUACCCUGGUAGUCCACGCCGUAAACGAUGAGUGCUAAGUGUUAGGGGGUUUCCGCCCCUUAGUGCUGCAGCUAACGCAUUAAGCACUCCGCCUGGGGAGUACGACCGCAGGGUUGAAACUCAAAGGAAUUGACGGGGACCCGCACAAGCGGUGGAGCAUGUGGUUUAAUUCGAAGCAACGCGAAGAACCUUACCAAAUCUUGACAUCCUUUGACAACUCUAGAGAUAGAGCCUUCCCCUUCGGGGGGCAAAGUGACAGGUGGUGCAUGGUUGUCGUCAGCUCGUGUCGUGAGAUGUUGGGUUAAGUCCCGCAACGAGCGCAACCCUUAAGCUUAGUUGCCAUCAUUAAGUUGGGCACUCUAAGUUGACUGCCGGUGACAAACCGGAGGAAGGUGGGGAUGACGUCAAAUCAUCAUGCCCCUUAUGAUUUGGGCUACACACGUGCUACAAUGGACAAUACAAAGGGCAGCGAAACCGCGAGGUCAAGCAAAUCCCAUAAAGUUGUUCUCAGUUCGGAUUGUAGUCUGCAACUCGACUACAUGAAGCUGGAAUCGCUAGUAAUCGUAGAUCAGCAUGCUACGGUGAAUACGUUCCCGGGUCU